CGCGGCUAUAAGGGGCGGAGGCUGGGUGGCCUUGCUCAGCGCUCUGCGGCUGAUGGCGCUUUUGUCUCCGGUGAGUUUUGUGGCGGGAAGCUUCUGCGCUGGUGCUUAGUAACCGACUUUCCUCCCGACUCCUGGACGACCUGCUCUUACAGCCGGCGAUCCACUCCCGGCUCUUCCCCCGGAG
This 184-nucleotide small RNA is filed under the name Pongo abelii (Sumatran orangutan). RNAcentral describes it as "processed transcript". The record is from RNAcentral. Lineage: Eukaryota; Metazoa; Chordata; Mammalia; Primates; Hominidae.